UUCCGGUUGAUCCUGCCGGACCCUACUGCUAUCGGGGGAGGACUAAAACAUGCAAGUCGUGCGCGCCAGACGCGGCAUCCGGCUCAGUAACACGUGGCUAACCCACCCUUGAGACGGAGAAAACCCCGGGAAACUGGGGUUAAUCUCCGAUAAGAGAAGACACCUGGAAUGGGUCUCCUCUCAAAGCUUCUGUGCUCAAGGACGGGGCCGCGGCCGAUCAGGUUGUUGGUGAGGCAACGGCUCACCAAGCCUAUAACCGGUACGGGCCGUGAGAGCGGGAGCCCGGAGAUGGGCACUGAGACAAGGGCCCAGGCCCUACGGGGCGCAGCAGUUGCGAAAACUCCGCAAUGCACGAAAGUGUGACGGGGCUACCCCGAGUGCCGUCCGCUGAGGGCGGCUUUUCCCCGGUGUAAGGAGCCGGGGGAAUAAGGAGAGGGCAAGUCUGGUGUCAGCCGCCGCGGUAAUACCAGCUCUCCGAGUGGUGUGGAUGUUUAUUGGGCCUAAAGCAUCCGUAGCUGGCUGAGUUAGUCCCCUGUUAAACCCACCGAAUUAAUCGUUGGAUUGCGGGGGAUACUGCCAGGCUAGGGGACGAGAGAGGCAGACGGUAUUUUCGGGGUAGGGGUGAAAUCCUAUAAUCCCGGGAAGACCACCAGUGGCGAAGGCUGUCUGCUAGCACGCGCUCGACGGUGAGGGACGAAAGCUGGGGGAGCAAACCGGAUUAGAUACCCGGGUAGUCCCAGCUGUAAACGAUGUGGGCUAGGUGUUGGGGUGGCUACGUGCCACUUCAGUGCCGCAGGGAAGCCAUUAAGCCCGCCGCCUGGGGAGUACGGCCGCAAGGCUGAAACUUAAAGGAAUUGGCGGGGGAGCACCACAAGGCGUGAAGCUUGCGGUUCAAUUGGAUUCAACGCCGGA
Molecule: ribosomal RNA, 912 nt
Filed under: uncultured archaeon
Lineage: Archaea
Description: bacterial SSU rRNA
Rfam family: Archaeal small subunit ribosomal RNA
Source: RNAcentral